GACGAACGCUGGCGGCGUGCCUAAUACAUGCAAGUAGAACGCUGAAGAGAGGAGCUUGCUCUUCUUGGAUGAGUUGCGAACGGGUGAGUAACGCGUAGGUAACCUGCCUUGUAGCGGGGGAUAACUAUUGGAAACGAUAGCUAAUACCGCAUAACAAUGGAUGACACAUGUCAUUUAUUUGAAAGGGGCAAUUGCUCCACUACAAGAUGGACCUGCGUUGUAUUAGCUAGUAGGUGAGGUAACGGCUCACCUAGGCGACGAUACAUAGCCGACCUGAGAGGGUGAUCGGCCACACUGGGACGGAGACACGGCCCAGACUCCUACGGGAGGCAGCAGUAGGGAAUCUUCGGCAAUGGGGGCAACCCUGACCGAGCAACGCCGCGUGAGUGAAGAAGGUUUUCGGAUCGUAAAGCUCUGUUGUAAGUCAAGAACGAGUGUGAGAGUGGAAAGUUCACACUGUGACGGUAGCUUACCAGAAAGGGACGGCUAACUACGUG
Molecule: ribosomal RNA, 497 nt
Filed under: uncultured bacterium
Lineage: Bacteria
Description: partial 16S ribosomal RNA
Rfam family: Bacterial small subunit ribosomal RNA
Source: RNAcentral